This 506-nucleotide ribosomal RNA is filed under the name uncultured bacterium. Its description in RNAcentral is "partial 16S ribosomal RNA". It matches the Rfam family "Bacterial small subunit ribosomal RNA", at positions 29 to 523 of the family's 1533-position model. The record is from RNAcentral.
AGUGAACGCUGGCGGUAGGCCUAACACAUGCAAGUCGAACGGCAGCACAGGAGAGCUUGCUCUCUGGGUGGCGAGUGGCGGACGGGUGAGGAAUACAUCGGAAUCUACUCUGUCGUGGGGGAUAACGUAGGGAAACUUACGCUACUACCGCAUACGACCUACGGGUGAAAGCAGGGGACCUUCGGGCCUUGCGCGAUUGAAUGAGCCGAUGUCGGAUUAGCUAGUUGGCGGGGUAAAGGCCCACCAAGGCGACGAUCCGUAGCUGGUCUGGGAGGAUGAUCAGCCACACUGGAACUGAGACACGGUCCAGACUCCUACGGGAGGCAGCAGUGGGGAAUAUUGGACAAUGGGCGCAAGCCUGAUCCAGCCAUACCGCGUGGGUGAAGAAGGCCUUCGGGUUGUAAAGCCCUUUUGUUGGGAAAGAAAUCCAGCUGGUUAAUACCCGGUUGGGAUGACGGUACCCAAAGAAUAAGCACCGGCUAACUUCGUGCCAGCCGCCGCCGUAA